Molecule: long non-coding RNA, 608 nt
Filed under: Phasianus colchicus (ring-necked pheasant)
Lineage: Eukaryota; Metazoa; Chordata; Aves; Galliformes; Phasianidae
Description: lncRNA (ENSPCLG00000003938.1)
Source: RNAcentral
GAAAAAGAUAAGCAAUUCCACUAGCUUUGGAUCCGUUCCACUGUGGAGAACACAUAAAAAGAAUGCUAUAAUUGGAGAUGGCAGGGAAGAUAAAAGAAAAAAAAUGGGAGGGGGUGUUUCCUUGGAAAGCACAGUAAAUUAAAACCAAAACUGUCCUUGAAGACCUAUUGUUUUUGCUUGCUUUUCAAUGAGGAACACAGAAAAUAUUUUUCGCUUGGGUGCAGAGAAGUAUCUCUAGUUUAGGGAGGCACACCCCAGGAUGGUGCAUCCUAAGAGGCAGUGCUUGCAGAGCUCCCCUCUUCAGCAGCUGUGAAAAGCCACACCUUGUGACAGAAUGAACUGUCAGCCCAUCCAAGGACAAGUCAUCCUUAGGGGAAACCAAGGCCACUGCACCACCCAUGCUGUAACAUCAGCCACCCACUUCUGUGAGCAUCUUGGACAGUUCCUGCUUCCUUCUGAGGCAUCAGCAUAGCGUCUCAAAAUGAAACUACACCCAGAGUAAUUUCUUGGAUUUGCUGGAAGAACUGCAGUAAGCCUGCUAAGAAUUACUACUUCGUUUGGGAGGAGCUUGAAAAAAGCUCAAAGUCCAAUUGCUCCUCAGGGCACUC